Molecule: ribosomal RNA, 1049 nt
Filed under: uncultured crenarchaeote
Lineage: Archaea; Thermoproteati; Thermoproteota
Description: bacterial SSU rRNA
Rfam family: Archaeal small subunit ribosomal RNA
Source: RNAcentral
CGCGGGAUUGGGGACGGGGUGCAGCAGACGCGAAACCUCUACAAUGCACGCAAGUGUGAUAGGGGAAUCCCAAGUGCUCAUGUUCUACAUGGGCUUUUGCCAAGGGUAAAAACCUUGGAGAAUAAGUGGUGGGUAAGACUGGUGCCAGCCGCCGCGGUAACACCAGCGCCACUAGUGGGAACCGCUUUUAUUGGGCCUAAAGCGUUCGUAGCCGGUUUUGUAAAUCUUUUGUGAAACUGUUGAGCUCAACUCAACAACGUGCAGAAGACACUGCAAAACUUGGGACCGGGAGGAGUCAGAGGUAUGUCUGACGGAGCGGUAAAAUGUUGUAAUCCCAGAUAGACCACCUGUGGCGAAGGCGUCUGACCAGAACGGAUCCGACGGUGAGGGACGAAAGCCAGGGGAGCAAAACGGAUUAGAUACCCGAGUAGUCCUAGCCGUAAACGCUGCGAGCUAGGUGUUGCAUAAUCUUCGUGAUUGUGCAGUACCGGAGCGAAGGUGUUAAGCUCGCCGCCUGGGAAGUACGGUCGCAAGGCUGAAACUUAAAGGAAUUGGCGGGGGAGCACUACAAGGGGUGCGGCGUGCGGUUUAAUCUAACUCCACACAGAGAAUCUCACCAGAGGCGACGGCAGAAUGAAAGUCAGGCUAAAGACCUUACUUGACAAGCCGAGAGGUAGUGCAUGGCCGCCGUCAGCUCGUGCCGUAAGGUGUCCUGUUAAGUCAGGCAACGAGCAAGACCUGCGCCCACAAUUGCUAGCAAGUCCAUCAGGAUGAUUGAGCACAUUGUGGGGACUGCCUUCGAAAGGAGGAGGAAGGUGCAGGCUACGGUAGGUCUGUAUGCUCCGAAUCCUCUGGGCUACACGCGCGCAACAAUGGUAAGGACAAUGGGCUACGACUCCGAAAGGAGAAGUUAAACCUCGAAACCUUACCUUAGUUCAGAUCGAGGAUUGUAACUCAUCCUCGUGACGAUGGAAUCCCUAGUAAUGGGACGUCAUCAGCGUCCCGUGAAUAUGUCCCUGCUCCUUGCACGAAUUCGCCGAAUCACUAGU